AUACUAGUGACGGUCUGGCAUUAUGGACCAAAGCCAUUUUAUUCAAUACCAAAGUUGACAGCUAAUACUGUUUUUUAGCAUUAGAUGCCGCUUUCAACUACUAACAAAUCCUACAUUAUACAGUAAAAGUGCACAGCCAUUGUUAGAUGAGAAGUUUAUUGUAUAUUUGUAUAUUAGAUAUUUCUUUUGCAGAUUUACAUAAUUACACCUUAUUAUGAAAACAGAAAGUAGCGUUGAUAGUGAGUGAUUUAUUUUGGGCUCUAGUUAGAUUAUUGAUCAAUUUAAAAAAUAAAUGACGGAUGAACGAAUGGCGAUCCACUGGACCGCAGUAUUUUACUCUGACUGAGCACCGACCACAUCCUUCGCUAUCUAAAUACAGCUGUCCAGGGCCGAAAAGUUUCAAUAAAACCGCUCUCAGAUAAAACGUCUUUGUUUAAACAGCCCUAAACAACUUCAACAUCUUCCAUUAUCGUUCAGUUCAAAUUUAAGUCCAUGUGGAAAUUCCUGUACAUGGUAACCACGGAAUUAAUUUGCAGGGAGAAACAGGAAAUACAAAAAAAGAUUGACUUGGUUUCUGACCAAUCAGAGCUAAUGUUGCCUUAUAAUUGGAGUCGCAGUCGCAGACUCGAGAUCUGAUUGGUUAUCGCCUGGCGACACAAGCCUGGUGAAAUAUGAUUGGAUAAAAACUUUACAAUAAUAUACAACGGUUGGAGCGGCGAAACAAAGCGGAUAUAAUAUGACGCGAAGAAAACAGACCAUGGCGAAUCAUUUUAUCUACAAAGAAAAUCUGACCAUGUUUAGGCUAGCAGAGAUCGCUUAGCUGCGUCUGAUUGCGGCCCCUUUGCGUGGUCACGCACGUCCGUGCACGUGCGUCAAAACCAUGAAGCAAUGGAGCGCCACUUGCCCCCGAGGAUCUGGGAGCUCUGGACACGGUUCAGACGGUGGAGCCGCGGAGGCAGACAGCGGUGGCAGCCGGAGGGGGAAGUUGCUGUGCACGGUCGUCCACCUAGGCGUUGGAGGACUCGCUUUGAGCGAGCCACUUCCCACGUUCAGGAAGUUGGGCCCCCCACCUCUGGCAUUGAGGUACCCCGCUUUGACCUGCCUUCUUACUUAGAUGUUCGACUUCCUCUUUACACUGAUCUCUUUCCUCCUCAUUCUCCUCCACGCUUUCCUGUUCCUUCUGCUAUUCCUUCCUCACCUCCUCCUCCCUAUUCUCCUCCACACUCUCCUGUUCCUUCUUCUGUUCCUUCCACACCCCCUCCUCCUUAUUCUCCUGUUCCUUCUCGCUCUUUUGCUGCUCCUCAUUCUCCUCCACGCUCUCCUGUUCGUCCUUCUUCUGUUCCUUCCACACCCCCUCCUCCUUAUUCUCCUGUUCCUUCUCGCUCUUUUGCUCCUCCUCAUUCUCCUCCACGCUCUCCUGUUCGUCCUUCUUCUGUUCCUUCCACACCCCCUCCUCCUUAUUCUCCUGUUCCCUCUUGCUCUCCGGCUCCUCCUCUUUCUCCUCCAUGCUCUUUUGCUCCUUCUUCUUCUAUUCCACCUUCACCCACUGCUCCUUCCCCUCUGGUUCCACCUAUUGUGGCUCCUUCUGAGCUGCCCUGUGUUCCCGAUGCUGGCCUUCCCCUGUCUCCUGUUAUUCAGGACUCAGGCUCCACAGUGGAAGGGACCAGUGAGGACUUAGCGGUUGGGGAAACCAACGAGGCUCCUAGCAGCGGCAGCAGCAGCAGCACACCUGGUAGAGGUAGGGAGGACAGUGAUGAGGAGGGGGCUGCUCCCAAAAGACCAUGUUUUACUGUGAGACACUGUGUCACACAGUAA
Long non-coding RNA from Betta splendens (Siamese fighting fish), 1815 nucleotides. The record is from Ensembl. NCBI's taxonomy places the organism in Eukaryota, Metazoa, Chordata, Actinopteri, Anabantiformes, Osphronemidae.